This 68-nucleotide transfer RNA is filed under the name marine eukaryotic metagenome. It matches the Rfam family "tRNA". Rfam says of the family: Transfer RNA (tRNA) molecules are approximately 80 nucleotides in length. The record is from RNAcentral.
CGAGGUAGCUCAGUCGGUAGAGCGACGGACUGAAAAUCCGUGUGUCCCCAGUUCGAUUCUGGGCCUCG